GUCCACAGCCAUACUGCCCUGAACGCGCCCAGUCUCAGCUGAUCUCGGAAGCCAAGCAGGGUCAAGCCCGGUUAGUACUUGGAUGCAAGAACAUCCCACGGUUAGGAUG
RNAcentral lists this ribosomal RNA (109 nucleotides) under Neogale vison (American mink). The record is from RNAcentral. Lineage: Eukaryota; Metazoa; Chordata; Mammalia; Carnivora; Mustelidae.